ACAAGCGCGGGCCGCUGUGGCCGCCUGCCACUCUCCUCUGCUGACCCACAGAUGUGAGCACGGGCCGCCGCCGCCGCCACCCACCGCUGCCACGUUGAAGAAGAGUCACCAAGCCGGCGAACUUUGAUCAGUAUUGCAUCAUUGCCUGUUCAAGCAUUAGCAAGUACAGUCAAUGAGGAAAAUCUACCGGAUCUGAAGUACCAAUUCGAUACAAUUGAUGUUGAUAAGUGGACCAAUUACUGUAUUGAAGAAAUACAGCAUGUAAGAUUUAGAGUAUUUCAUAUGAGAAUGUUUUGCGCCGGUACUAGAUGCGCUGAUGAUCUUUGUAUGUUUUAGUGGCCCUUGUGAAGGAUCUUCACACUAAAGUCUCCUCAUGUUCUCAAGAUUAUUCAAGCAAGCAAGCAAUAUACUGUAUCUCUCAAGCAAUUUACUCAUACGUGUGAUUGGAAAGACGACAACCAUUUGUUCUACGACACUACUAUCUGACAGGUUCUUAACUCAUCAGGCCGGGCUACUGAGUAUACAUAUUGUGUUCAUCUCGCCUUCCUUCUUAGGAAAAAUCAUGUACUGAAGGUUUAUUCACCAUUAAAUUUCUAUGAAGGGACUUGCCAAUCCACCUUACACCCAUACUAAAAUAGUGUUUCCAGAGAGUAGAAACAUCGCAUGCAGAAAUCUUCAAGAAGACGUGAUUGAAGUUGUAACCGAUGAAAUGCCUGCUGGUGAAGCUAUUAUGGAUCCAACUCACCACCUAAUUGGCGACAAAGGUAGGUCCGAUUAAGUGAUCAACAUGCAUGCAUCAUGAGCUACUUACUGUUAUUCAGAGAUACAGUCUGAUAGUAGUAACUUAAUUUGCUUAGAUGCUCGCGAAACCCUAGAUAACGGCUCAUUUUUCAGCCCAAUUGUGACAAAUAUGGUAACAUGCCAAAUUAUUUUCCUUUUAGAUUUAUUAUUCCACAGUUGCACACUGUCUGUCAUCAGUAAGUUAAUCAAGAUAAGUUUCACAUGCAUGUACUGAACAAACAAAUCUCCGACGACAACCAAUUCUGUGAAAGUUGCUGCCUCUAUCUUUUGUGCCGUGUAAGUCUUUCUUGUGUAUCUGAUCACCAAGUAUUUUUCCCUAUACCAUGUAUCAUCCGAAGGGGCGACAGACCAAAGUCUCGGAUUCCUCGAGCAACAUAUGUAGUGUUGUCAGUCGAUGUGAAUCCGUCUACUCCUAGGCAACAACGGAGGGGUGAUUGGGAUACUGAAAGCCAGUGUAUGGAGGCUUAGUGGAGUCAGUCACCAGCCUCUUCGUUGUUUAAACAACAACAUCAAGCGGCGCCAGAAACAUGUCAGUUACUUUCAUCUUGGGCAUAGCCAACUUUGUUGGUGGACUUCCUCUCAUUUUUCACAAUAUUGCUGAUCCGAGAGACAGCAGAGUCAUGAACGAGGACAAAUGAGAAGGUCGGCCACUACUGACUCAAGCUUGGAUGUGGUCGAAAGCCCGGCUCCACAUGGUUCUACCACUGCUCUCACACAUGGUGUUCGGGCUACUUCCACCAGUGCUCUGCGGGUUGUCGUUCCGCGAGAGUAACGACAGGGAGAACAAGAUGAUGGAUGUCACCAGUGCUUCGCUUGCCUGCAUCGCUCUGCUAGCGCUCGGGAAGGUUAUGGCCACAAAAGAGCCAUGACAUACUUCAAGACUCUCAUUUACUACCUUACCAUCGUUGUGAGCUUGUCCGGAAUGUCGUACAUCGCCGGUGUACUGGUCAUGAGGCUUCUAGGACACUUGACACCAUUGAUCAAGGUGGUGCAUCGGCUCCUCAUGCUUCUCCAGGCCUGUUGUUCUCUCAUUUAGGUGGUGCGCAUAUGUCUGCCUAGGCCUCAUUAUGAAGUCUCAAGUUCCUCGGAGCACUGAUGGUAUAAAAAGAGAAGACAUGGGUGAGUUGAAGAGAAAGUGCAUGAAGAAACAUCUCAAUCUUUUUGAGUUGCUACCUACUAUUUUGUUGUAAUUCUGGUGUACAUUUUAAGUUGCUAACAUUUCAUGUCCAAAUGUGCGAUCUUGGUCACU
Molecule: long non-coding RNA, 2050 nt
Organism: Triticum aestivum (bread wheat)
Lineage: Eukaryota; Viridiplantae; Streptophyta; Magnoliopsida; Poales; Poaceae
Exons: 6
Source: RefSeq, a predicted model, not a curated record